This 651-nucleotide ribosomal RNA is filed under the name uncultured bacterium. RNAcentral's name for it is "bacterial SSU rRNA". It matches the Rfam family "Bacterial small subunit ribosomal RNA", at positions 840 to 1498 of the family's 1533-position model. The record is from RNAcentral.
UCGGUGAUGCACUUAACAGAUUAAGUGAACCGCCUGGGGAGUACGGUCGCAAGAUUAAAACUCAAAGGAAUAGACGGGGACCCGCACAAGUGGUGGAGCAUGUGGUUUAAUUCGAAGAUACGCGAAGAACCUUACCUAGCCUUGACAUUGAUUGAACCUGCCAGAGAUGGCGGGGUGCCUUCGGGAACAUGAAAACAGGUGCUGCACGGCUGUCGUCAGCUCGUGUCGUGAGAUGUUGGGUUAAGUCCCGCAACGAGCGCAACCCUCGUCACUAGUUACUAACGAUUCGGUCGAGGACUCUAGUGAGACUGCCUUCGUAAGGAGGAGGAAGGUGAGGACGACGUCAAGUCAUCAUGGCCCUUACGGCUAGGGCAACACACGUGCUACAAUGGUUAGGACAAUGAGAGGCGAUACCGCGAGGUGGAGCAAAUCUAUAAACCUAAUCUCAGUUCGGAUUGUAGUCUGCAACUCGACUACAUGAAGCUGGAAUCACUAGUAAUCGUAGAUCAGCUAUGCUACGGUGAAUACGUUCCCGGGUCUUGUACUCACCGCCCGUCACACCAUGGGAGUUGAUUUCACCCGAAGCGGGGAAGCUAAACUGGCUACCCUCCACGGUGGAAUUAGCGACUGGGGUGAAGUCGUAACAAGGUA